UACAGAGGUGGCGAGCGUUGUUCGGAUUUACUGGGCGUAAAGGGUGCGUAGGUGGUAUCGUGUGUCGGAUGUGAAAUCUCACCGCUCAACGGUGAAACUGCAUUCGAAACUACGAUUCUAGAGUACAGGAGAGGAGAGCGGAAUACUUGGUGUAGCGGUGGAAUGCGUUGAGAUCAAGUAGAACACCGGUGGCGUAGGCGGCUCUCUGGAAUGUUACUGACACUGAGGCACGAAAGUUGGGGGAGCAAACAGG
RNAcentral lists this ribosomal RNA (253 nucleotides) under uncultured bacterium. Its description in RNAcentral is "partial 16S ribosomal RNA". It matches the Rfam family "Bacterial small subunit ribosomal RNA", at positions 524 to 776 of the family's 1533-position model. The record is from RNAcentral.